CGACCGGCGCACGGGUGAGUAACGCGUAUCCAACCUGCCCUUUACUAUGGGACAGCCCGUCGAAAGGCGGAUUAAUACCGUAUGUUGUCAUGUUGAUGCAUAUUUUCAUGACCAAAGGCUUCGGCCGGUAAAGGAUGGGGAUGCGUCUGAUUAGCUUGCCGGCGGGGUAACGGCCCACCGGGGCGACGAUCAGUAGGGGUUCUGAGAGGAAGGUCCCCCACAUUGGAACUGAGACACGGCCCAGACUCCUACGGAAGGCAGCAG
Molecule: ribosomal RNA, 264 nt
Filed under: uncultured bacterium
Lineage: Bacteria
Description: partial 16S ribosomal RNA
Rfam family: Bacterial small subunit ribosomal RNA
Source: RNAcentral